UUUAGUUCUUGUUGCAGCAGCUUGUAUACAGUGAACUGCGAAUGGCUCAUUAAAUCAGUUAUCGUUUAUUUGAUAGUACCUUACUACUUGGAUAACCGUGGUAAUUCUAGAGCUAAUACAUGCUAAAAAUCCCGACCUCCGGAAGGGAUGUAUUUAUUAGAUAAAAAACCAAUGGCUUCGGCCUCUUUGGUGAUUCAUGAUAACUUAACGAAUCGCAUGGCCUUGCGCCGGCGAUGGUUCAUUCAAAUUUCUGCCCUAUCAACUUUCGAUGGUAGGAUAGUGGCCUACCAUGGUUUCAACGGGUAACGGGGAAUUAGGGUUCUAUUCCGGAGAGGGAGCCUGAGAAACGGCUACCACAUCCAAGGAAGGCAGCAGGCGCGCAAAUUACCCAAUCCCAAUCCGGGGAGGUAGUGACAAUAAAUACUGAUACAGGGCUCUUUCGGGUCUUGUAAUUGGAAUGAGUACAAUUUAAAUCCCUUAACGAGGAACAAUUGGAGG
This 498-nucleotide ribosomal RNA is filed under the name Drechslerella dactyloides. Its description in RNAcentral is "SSU rRNA". It matches the Rfam family "Eukaryotic small subunit ribosomal RNA", at positions 59 to 554 of the family's 1831-position model. Lineage: Eukaryota; Fungi; Ascomycota; Orbiliomycetes; Orbiliales; Orbiliaceae. The record is from RNAcentral.